Molecule: ribosomal RNA, 253 nt
Filed under: uncultured bacterium
Lineage: Bacteria
Description: partial 16S ribosomal RNA
Rfam family: Bacterial small subunit ribosomal RNA
Source: RNAcentral
UACGGAGGGUGCAAGCGUUAUCCGGAUUCACUGGGUUUAAAGGGUGCGUAGGUGGGCAGGUAAGUCAGUGGUGAAAUCUCCGGGCUUAACCCGGAACUGCCGUUGAUACUAUUUGUCUUGAAUAUAGUGGAGGUGAGCGGAAUAUGUCAUGUAGCGGUGAAAUGCUUAGAUAUGACAUAGAACACCAAUUGCGAAGGCAGCUUGCUACACUAUUAUUGACACUGAGGCACGAAAGCGUGGGGGAUCAAACAGG